UACAGAGGUCUCAAGCGUUGUUCGGAUUCAUUGGGCGUAAAGGGUGCGUAGGCGGCGCGGUAAGUCGGGUGUGAAAACUCGAGGCUCAACUUCGAGCUGUCGGCGGAAACUAUCUGGCUAGAGUCCGGAAGAGGAGAGUGGAAUUCCUGGUGUAGCGGUGAAAUGCGUAGAUAUCUGGAGGAACACCGGUGGCGAAGGCGGCACCCUGGACCAACACUGACGCUGAGUGAGCGAAAGCCAGGGGAGCAAACGGG
RNAcentral lists this ribosomal RNA (254 nucleotides) under uncultured bacterium. RNAcentral's name for it is "partial 16S ribosomal RNA". It matches the Rfam family "Bacterial small subunit ribosomal RNA", at positions 524 to 776 of the family's 1533-position model. The record is from RNAcentral.